Molecule: ribosomal RNA, 717 nt
Filed under: Pseudomonas sp. CPA-145
Lineage: Bacteria; Pseudomonadati; Pseudomonadota; Gammaproteobacteria; Pseudomonadales; Pseudomonadaceae
Description: bacterial SSU rRNA
Rfam family: Bacterial small subunit ribosomal RNA
Source: RNAcentral
UGCAAGUCGAGCGGUAGAAGGAAGCUUGCUUCCUUUGAGAGCGGCGGACGGGUGAGUAAUGCCUAGGAAUCUGCCUGGUAGUGGGGGAUAACGUUCGGAAACGAACGCUAAUACCGCGUACGUCCUACGGGAGAAAGCAGGGGACCUUCGGGCCUUGCGCUAUCAGAUGAGCCUAGGUCGGAUUAGCUUGUUGGUGAGGUAAUGGCUCACCAAGGCAACGAUCCGUAACUGGUCUGAGAGGAUGAUCAGUCACACUGGAACUGAGACACGGUCCAGACUCCUACGGGAGGCAGCAGUGGGGAAUAUUGGACAAUGGGGGAAACCCUGAUCCAGCCAUGCCGCGUGUGUGAAGAAGGUCUUAGGAUUGUAAAGCACUUUAAGUUGGGAGGAAGGGUUGCAGCCUAAUACGCUGUAACUUUGACGUUACCGACAGAAUAAGCACCGGCUAACUCUGUGCCAGCAGCCGCGGUAAUACAGAGGGUGCAAGCGUUAAUCGGAAUUACUGGGCGUAAAGCGCGCGUAGGUGGCAAGGUAAGAUGGGUGUGAAAUCCCCGGGCUCAACCUGGGAACUGCAUCCAUAACUGCUUCGCUAGAGUACAGUAGAGGGUAGUGGAAUUUCCUGUGUAGCGGUGAAAUGCGUAKAUAUAGGAAGGAACACCAUUGGCGAAGGCGACUACCUGGACUGAUACUGACACUGAGGUGCGAAAGCGUGGGGAG